CCUCAGUAACGGCGAGUGAAGCGGUAACAGCUCAAAUUUGAAAUCUGGCCUCACGGUCCGAGUUGUAAUUUGUAGAGGAUGCUUCGAGCAUGGUCUGGCCUAAGUUCCUUGGAACAGGACGUCAUAGAGGGUGAGAAUCCCGUAUGCGGCCAGGUGCCUACGCUCAUGUGAAGCUCCUUCGACGAGUCGAGUUGUUUGGGAAUGCAGCUCAAAAUGGGUGGUAAAUUUCAUCUAAAGCUAAAUAUUGGCCAGAGACCGAUAGCGCACAAGUAGAGUGAUCGAAAGAUGAAAAGCACUUUGGAAAGAGAGUUAAACAGUACGUGAAAUUGUUGAAAGGGAAGCGCUUGCAACCAGACUUGCGCGCGGCCGAUCAUCCGGUGUUCUCACCGGUGCACUCGGCCGUGCUCAGGCCAGCAUCGGUUUUGGCGGCUGGAUAAAGGCCCUAGGAAUGUAGCUCCUCUCGGGGAGUGUUAUAGCCUAGGGUGCAAUGCAGCCUGCUGGGACCGAGGACCGCGCUUCGGCUAGGAUGCUGGCGUAAUGGUUGUAAGCGGCCCGUCUUGAAACACGGACCAAGGAGUCUAACAUCUAUGCGAGUGUUUGGGUGUCAAACCCAUACGCGUAAUGAAAGUGAACGGAGGUGAGAACCCUUAAGGGUGCAUCAUCGACCGGUCCUGAAGUUUACGGAAGGAUCUGAGUAAGAGCAUAGCUGUUGGGACCCGAAAGAUGG
Molecule: ribosomal RNA, 727 nt
Filed under: Pseudogymnoascus sp.
Lineage: Eukaryota; Fungi; Ascomycota; Leotiomycetes; Thelebolales; Thelebolaceae
Description: partial large subunit ribosomal RNA
Rfam family: Eukaryotic large subunit ribosomal RNA
Source: RNAcentral